GUGCAGAGUUAAAAGCAAGGGGCUGCCCUAAUUGUAGUUUUUCUUUCUGACCCUUUUUCACAGGGAGGUUGUGCUUUUUGGGUAUUCUGUGUCAGUUUUCACUCUUGGCCAGAAUUUUCUGUGGUUCUGGUGGAGUGUAGUGGUUGCUGCUCCUUGCCUGGGGACACAGUGGCCUUGGGAAGCAUCUCUGUAAAUCAGAGUUAUGCUGGGUUGAUGCCUGAAAACUAGGUGAGAAUACACUACUCCGCAGUGUAAGGCUUACAGCGCAGGUACUUGUUUAUUCAACGCCACGAGUGAGGGGGAUUGCUCCACCACAAACUCACUCGUCCGUUCUUUGCACAGUACUGGCUUGUAUACUUUUUUUUUUACUUGGUGUGCUCAUUCGUCUUUCUUAUCCUUCAUAUGGAAACAUAUUUUCUAAUUACAUGAUUACAGAAGUCCUUGUGGCACAGGAGCCAUGCUGCUUGCAGAUGUUUAGAGAAAUUGGAUUCAGUGAGUUCUGUAGAAAUCUUCUGCUUACCUUUUAAUCUUCUGGAGAAGCUGGACUGGAACGUGGAAGCUCAGGGGAGACCUUCCCACAGGUAUUUGUAUUCAGUGCCGUUGUGUGCAUCUUUGCUGCAUUUUCCUCAUUAGGGAAGGGACUCGUUCGUGUUGGUUUUGCUUUUCAGUCAGCAGGGGUGCAGGUAUUCAGGGUUCAGCCAAAGGAAGAUUCCAAAGGGAGUUUUAGGGAUGGCUGCGGCCGGCUUUCCCAGAGUCGGUUUCUUUCAUUUUGGUUUUGUGCCCUAAACAAUUUGACACUGUUUUUUGACCCAGGAUUUAGCAAGACAAUCCCGAAGUAAAGUUCCUUUGCUGUUAUUGCUGGGAAUGUUUUUGCUCUGUUGCCUGGAAAGGCCGACCUGGAACAGAGACUAGACAGAGUAAAAGGAAUAAAAGAGGUAUUUAUUGAAAGGAUACACUUUGGGGCAGUGCGACAUCCCGGCCAGGACUACACCCAAGUCAGAUUCCACAUGGAUGCCAGUAACAAGUCUUUACACUUUUAUAAGUUUUGGUUCAUCUCCAUAUUGGGGUUUAUUAUCCAGCCACAGCCUCAGGCUAUGAACUCUCAGCCCCCUGGCUUGCUCCCUUUCCCUCACCGUUGCUUUUGCUUUUUUGGGUAUCGCUUGUCCUUGAUUGUCUAGCUAGAAAGGAAUUGUUUUGUCUUAACUAUCCUGUAAAGAGAACUUACUAACACCUAAUAUGAAGUUUCACAGUUACACACUAAGCAGCAGAGAUUCUGAAAAAUACAAAAGCUAAAACUUUUAAAGCUCCAAGGUGUGAGCUCCAAGUCCCUCCAUACCUGAGGACUCAAAGGUGUUCGGGUGUGACAGCAGAUGGGAAACCUGUGAUGUGCAAGUCACCCAGUUGGAAGUGGUGCUGGAGCUUGGAGUGUGAGGGACUGGGACCAGGGAAAAAGGCAUCAAGUGAGUGGUGUGCCCUGGGGACAGGCGGAGCCUGUCCUUACCCGUCUGCCAGGAGCAUCUGAAGGAAAGCAAACACAGAGAUUGAGCCACAAGGAACCUGCCAGAAGCAGGCCUUCAUUGCAUAUGUGGGAUUUCAGUUUGCUCUCGGACUCUUCCCUCCAAUCUUCUCUCGAGUUCUUGUUCCAGAGGGGCUCUGACAAGAGGUGCGUUACCUUGAUAAAUGGGAAUGAGAUUGGCCAAGUCUGUCAGGAAAGCAAAACCAUCCCCGAGGUUUGUUUGGCCAAAGACGGACCAUGACAACGUCCAUACUGGCGGAGGCUGUGAGUGCUGAUACUUUUGGGUGGUGUGGUUCCUCUGGCCCCUUACAAGUCAGGGCGAGGCUGAAGGAAGGAGGGAAGCUGCCACAGCUGCAGGUGAGGGCAGUGUAGGCUGUUUCCAGCUGCUUGGUACAGAACUGUGAGAACUGGAAGAACAGCUUUCCUCCUUCUUUCUCUCCAUCACUGGGCAUGAAGGAUAUUAGGAUGUAGCUGCACUAAGUUGUGUCAUUUGUGGGUUGUUGAUUGGUUGUUGUUUCUUCUGGCUUUUUUAUGUAUUUCCAAGUGGUGCAGUGAGGAGCAAGUUGCUGGCUUAUGUGAUUUCUGACUGAGCUGCCACAGAAACGGGCAUCUGUGUGUGCACAUGCUUCCUGGCAAAUCCAGAUUUGACGUGGAAAUCCUAGGGGAGGAUUUCCAGCCUUGACCACGCGUGACACAGGCUUGUGAAAAUGGAAAUGGCCUUGGCAGAAGAGCAGCUGUGAAGUGAAGCAGAACUGCAAUACAGUUGUUUCCAGGUGCUGCCCAGGAUGGACAUCUGUGGCCUCAGACAGCGAUUGCCUAGGAGGAAGGGGAGGCUUUGCACAGCUCACCUGCACAGCUCAGGACCGGAGAAACGGUUCCACUCCUCCCGUCUUUGCCAAAAGCUGUGGUGUUUGAGGAGCCAGAGACAAGAGGCUUCAGCACCAGGGCUCUGCACUGGAGGGCUCCCGGUCCUGACCGCGCAGGGUUCCCCUUUUCCUCCCCGCUGGGAUGAAGUGUCUAUGGCAUCUGGGUGAAACUGCAGCUCUGCUGGUAUCCAGGCACGUGAGGUCCGGGGGACUGCGUUUCCCUGUGGCUUUCCAGGUCGGCAGGAGCCAGAGGAAAUGGGGUGCCAGAGCCGUGCCCCAUCAGGCCGUGUUUGCCUCUGAGGAACAGAGAGUCCGGGCUGAGGAGCUGACAGAAAAGUAGGUUAAGCCUUAGAAGUUGGGUCCAUUGACUGCAGAAACUUGCCGAGGCUGGAGGACUGGGGUGAUGGCUGCUCCCAGGAAAGGGAGAAGAGGACGAACUCCCAGCCAUUCAGGCCUGACAGUCCCCUGCAGUGAGAGCUCAGCACGCAUCCCCAGAGGCAAGUCCAGCAGGAGAAAGAAGGAAAAAAGCUGUUUUUCUAUUCCUUACUUGCGUUCCCAUCGGGGCAGUGUGGCUUGGAGCUCGGGAGCUGGAUCUGUUACUUACCCACAUCAGAUUGGUGUGCACUGGUUCAGGAGGAUGAGGAAAAAAGGCUGCAGAGCUUCCUACAAGGGGCUGUAAGUGCAAAUAAAGAGGAGCCAGAGGUUUAGUUGAUAUGAAGCACUAGUUCUGAAAAGAGCCUGAUGGAUUUGCUGAUACCAAAACCAGUAGGAAUAGGAGACUGAACUCGGGCAUGGGGAUGGUCUCCUUGGCUUUAAAAAGCUUUAAUGGCUUUAAAAGGCAUUUCUAUCAGACGUGGUUUAUUUGUAUUACCUUUCAUUAAAUUUUAAA
This is a long non-coding RNA of Cinclus cinclus, 3271 nucleotides long. RefSeq lists it as uncharacterized. The record is from RefSeq and is a predicted model, not a curated record. Lineage: Eukaryota; Metazoa; Chordata; Aves; Passeriformes; Cinclidae. The transcript is spliced from 9 exons.